RNAcentral lists this ribosomal RNA (500 nucleotides) under uncultured bacterium. Its description in RNAcentral is "partial 16S ribosomal RNA". It matches the Rfam family "Bacterial small subunit ribosomal RNA", at positions 30 to 523 of the family's 1533-position model. The record is from RNAcentral.
AUUGAACGCUGGCGGCAUGCUUUACACAUGCAAGUCGAACGGUAACAGGGUGUUUGCACCGCUGACGAGUGGCGAACGGGUGAGUAAUACAUCGGAAUGUACCCAGUAAUGGGGGAUAACGCUUCGAAAGGAGUGCUAAUACCGCAUACGCCCUGAGGGGGAAAGUGGGGGACCGCAAGGCCUCACGUUAUUGGAGCAGCCGAUGGCUGAUUAGCUAGUUGGUGAGGUAAAGGCUCACCAAGGCGACGAUCAGUAGCGGGUCUUAGAGGACGAUCCGCCACACUGGAACUGAGACACGGUCCAGACUCCUACGGGAGGCAGCAGUGGGGAAUUUUGGACAAUGGACGCAAGUCUGAUCCGGCCAUUGCGCGUGCAGGAUGAAGGCCCUCGGGUUGUAAACUGCUUUUGUACGGAACGAAAAGGUCUCUCUUAAUACGGGGGACUCAUGACGGUACCGUAAGAAUAAGCACCGGCUAACUACGUGCCAGCCGCCGCCGUAA